This 253-nucleotide ribosomal RNA is filed under the name uncultured bacterium. Its description in RNAcentral is "partial 16S ribosomal RNA". It matches the Rfam family "Bacterial small subunit ribosomal RNA", at positions 524 to 776 of the family's 1533-position model. The record is from RNAcentral.
UACGUAGGGGGCAAGCGUUGUCCGGAUUUAUUGGGCGUAAAGAGCGUGUAGGCGGCCAGACAGGUCAGCUGUGAAAACUCGAGGCUCAACCUCGAGACGCCGAUGGAAACCGUCUGGCUAGAGUCCGGAAGAGGAGAGUGGAAUUCCUGGUGUAGCGGUGAAAUGCGCAGAUAUCAGGAAGAACACCCGUGGCUAAGGCGGCUCUCUAGUACGGUACUGACGCUGAGACGCGAAAGCGUGGGGAGCGAACAGG